Non-coding RNA from Pelobates cultripes (western spadefoot toad), 231 nucleotides. The record is from the annotation of a GenBank genome assembly. Lineage: Eukaryota; Metazoa; Chordata; Amphibia; Anura; Pelobatidae.
CCUAUACAAAAAGUUAUUACCACGGUUUUCAGGUCAAAAUGUUUCGUGAUCCCUGUAUUGGUGACUAAUUUAAACUCUACAAAGGACUCAGAAUUAUUUUAUUUGAUAAUUACAGGUCAAGAGAUGGAGGCACCUCUCUCUGCAUAAAACCCAUGGUACUCAAGUGUGUCUUCAAAAUUAAGAGCAAUCCCAAACAGACCUUAGUCUGCUGUAUUUUUGACAGAAUCUCUC